CCCACCUGCACAUGUCACACUGACCACAUCUGUAGACAUCUUGAGUUGUAGCUGCAGAUGGGGACCAGUGGCUCCCAUUUUCAUUUUAGCCAUUUUGUCGCCUGCACCCACUCCCUUCAUACAAUCUAGUCAGAAUAGCAGUUCUAGAGCACAGGUUCUCAGUCUAAGCUGUGGAAAAGCUCCCCUUAUCCAACAGAGUU
This 200-nucleotide long non-coding RNA is filed under the name Homo sapiens (human). Its description in RNAcentral is "LHRI_LNC1655.1". The record is from RNAcentral. Lineage: Eukaryota; Metazoa; Chordata; Mammalia; Primates; Hominidae.